AUAAGAAUUUAUACACAGUUUAUACAGACAGCGCUUCAUUCACUUUUUCUUUAACGCGAAUUACCUUUGACAAAUCGCAUGAUUCCUAGAGUUUUUCGGAAUACCGAACUCGCUUAUUA
Molecule: long non-coding RNA, 119 nt
Organism: Amblyraja radiata (thorny skate)
Lineage: Eukaryota; Metazoa; Chordata; Chondrichthyes; Rajiformes; Rajidae
Exons: 3
Source: RefSeq, a predicted model, not a curated record